RNAcentral lists this ribosomal RNA (1020 nucleotides) under Ptecticus tenebrifer. RNAcentral describes it as "SSU rRNA". It matches the Rfam family "Eukaryotic small subunit ribosomal RNA", at positions 45 to 995 of the family's 1831-position model. The record is from RNAcentral. Lineage: Eukaryota; Metazoa; Arthropoda; Insecta; Diptera; Stratiomyidae.
AUAGCAUGCAUGUCUAAGUACACACGAAUUAAAAGUGAAACCGCAAAAGGCUCAUUAUAUCAGUUAUGGUUCCUUAGAUUAUUAACAGUUACUUGGAUAACUGUGGUAAUUCUAGAGCUAAUACAUGCAAUAUAAACACGAAACAUUUAUGUACGUGUGCUUUUAUUAGGCUAAAACCAAGCGAUCUUUCGGGAUUGUUAUAUUGGUUGAACUCUGGAUAAUUUGCAGAUCGUAUGGUCUCGUACCGACGACAAAUCUUUCAAAUGUCUGCCCUAUCAACUAUUGAUGGUAGUAUCUUGGACUACCAUGGUUGCAACGGGUAACGGGGAAUCAGGGUUCGAUUCCGGAGAGGGAGCCUGAGAAACGGCUACCACAUCUAAGGAAGGCAGCAGGCGCGUAAAUUACCCACUCCCAGCUCGGGGAGGUAGUGACGAAAAAUAACAAUACAGGACUCAUAUCCGAGGCCCUGUAAUUGGAAUGAGUACACUUUAAAUCCUUUAACGAGGACCCAUUGGAGGGCAAGUCUGGUGCCAGCCGCCGCGGUAAUUCCAGCUCCAAUAGCGUAUAUUAAAGUUGUUGCGGUUAAAACGUUCGUAGUUGAAUUUGUGCUUCAUACGGGUAGUACACCCUUAUACGGGUCUGUACGUUACCAUUGUAUGUGAGCGUAUUACCGGUGGAGUUUUAAUAUGUAAUUAAUCUUCGGAUUGUUAUUAUAUUUAACUCCGUUUUAAACCUGCUUCAGUUCUCUUAACCGAGUGUUGUUGUGGGCCGGUACAAUUACUUUGAACAAAUUAGAGUGCUUAAAGCACGCUCCAAAUGCCUGAAUAUUUUGUGCAUGGAAAUAAUGGAAUAAGACCUCUGUUCUACUUUCAUUGGUUUUUAGAUCAAGAGGUAAUGAUUAAUAGAAGCAGUUGGGGGCAUUGGUAUUACGACGCGAGAGGUGAAAUUCUUGGACCGUCGUAGACUAACUUAAGCGAAAGCAUUUGCCAAAGAUGUUUUCAUAUCAGACGAAAGUAGAGG